GACGAACGCUGGCGGCGUGCUUAACACAUGCAAGUCGAACGGAAAGGCCUGUCCUUCCUUGUGUUGGACGGGUACUCGAGUGGCGAACGGGUGAGUAACACGUGAGUGAUCUGCCCCCAACUUGGGUAUAAGCCUGGGAAACUGGGUCUAAUUCCCGAUAGGACUGCAGGGUGGUGCCUGUGGUGGAAAACGAUUUUCUAGUGGUUGGGGAUGAGCUCGCGGCCUAUCAGCUUGUUGGUGGGGUAAUGGCCUACCAAGGCGGCGACGGGUAGCCGGCCUGAGAGGGUGGACGGCCACAUUGGGACUGAGAUACGGCCCAGACGCCUACGGGAGGCAGCAGUGGGGAAUAUUGCACAAUGGGCGGAAGCCUGAUGCAGCGACGCCGCGUGGGGGAUGACGGCCUUCGGGUUGUAAACUCCUUUCGACCGCGAGGAAGCCGCCUGGUUGGAAGGGUGGUGACGGUAGUGGUAGAAGAAGCACCGGCUAACUACGUG
This 494-nucleotide ribosomal RNA is filed under the name uncultured bacterium. RNAcentral's name for it is "partial 16S ribosomal RNA". It matches the Rfam family "Bacterial small subunit ribosomal RNA", at positions 28 to 507 of the family's 1533-position model. The record is from RNAcentral.